This 265-nucleotide ribosomal RNA is filed under the name uncultured archaeon. RNAcentral's name for it is "partial 16S ribosomal RNA". It matches the Rfam family "Archaeal small subunit ribosomal RNA", at positions 718 to 982 of the family's 1478-position model. The record is from RNAcentral.
AGUCACUGACAUUAGAUACCCCGGUAGUCCAGGGUGUAAACGCUGCAGACUUGGUGUUGGAAGCCCUUUGGGGGGCAUUCAGUGCCGGAGAGAAGUUGUUAAGUCUGCUACUUGGGGAGUACGUCCGCAAGGAUGAAACUUAAAGGAAUUGGCGGGGGAGCACCGCAACGGGAGGAGCGUGCGGUUUAAUUGGAUUCAACACCGUAAACUCACCAGGGAAGACUGUUACAUGAAGGCCGAGAUGAAGACUCUGCUAGAUUUUCAG